RNAcentral lists this unclassified non-coding RNA (253 nucleotides) under uncultured Pseudomonadaceae bacterium. RNAcentral describes it as "contains 16S-23S intergenic spacer region". It matches the Rfam family "Bacterial small subunit ribosomal RNA", at positions 524 to 776 of the family's 1533-position model. Lineage: Bacteria; Pseudomonadati; Pseudomonadota; Gammaproteobacteria; Pseudomonadales; Pseudomonadaceae. The record is from RNAcentral.
UACAGAGGGUGCAAGCGUUCUUCGGAAUUACUGGGCGUAAAGCGCGCGUAGGGGGUGAGAUAAGUUGGUUGUGAAAGCCCCGGGCUCAACCUGGGAACUGCAUCCAAAACUGGCCGACUAGAGUACAGUAGAGGGUGGUGGAGUUUCCUGUGUAGCGGUGAAAUGCGUAGAUAUAGGAAGGAACACCAGUGGCGAAGGCGACCACCUGGACUGAUACUGACACUGAGGUGCGAAAGCGUGGGGAGCAAACAGG